This is a small nucleolar RNA of Clarias gariepinus (North African catfish), 138 nucleotides long. RefSeq annotates it as small nucleolar RNA SNORA13. The transcript has a single exon. Lineage: Eukaryota; Metazoa; Chordata; Actinopteri; Siluriformes; Clariidae. The record is from RefSeq and is a predicted model, not a curated record.
UGCCUUUUUGUGUUGCCCGUUCUUUGCUUCCCCUUAAAAGAACGUGGUGUCAGUAAAGGCAUACAGUAACGCUCAGGUUUGGCCUUUACCGGGUAACUUCGGUGUUACCUCGGGCAAAGCUCUGUACCAGGCACACAU